Molecule: small RNA, 178 nt
Filed under: Phytopseudomonas seleniipraecipitans
Lineage: Bacteria; Pseudomonadati; Pseudomonadota; Gammaproteobacteria; Pseudomonadales; Pseudomonadaceae
Description: Pseudomonas seleniipraecipitans Pseudomonas sRNA P16
Rfam family: RgsA sRNA
About the family: P16 sRNA appears to be conserved across several Pseudomonas species and Azotobacter vinelandii.
Source: RNAcentral
UAGCAGCCGGAGAAAUAUUCCAAAUCCGUUUAAAGCCGGCAUAGACGUCGGCCGCAAAUGACCAAUACUUCAGAGACCGUUGCGGCAUCUCCCCCAAGUGUCGCGGCGGCCGGAGUGCCGAGGACCGCGCACUUCGCUUGACUCCUAAUGGUCUUGACCCGGAUUCCCCCGAACCCGG